RNA transcript from Vespa velutina, 2993 nucleotides. It is a transcript of the gene named protein RUFY3-like, with no coding region annotated. Lineage: Eukaryota; Metazoa; Arthropoda; Insecta; Hymenoptera; Vespidae. The transcript is spliced from 10 exons. The record is from RefSeq and is a predicted model, not a curated record.
CGCCGGCGAAUACGCCAUUUUCAUCGUGAAAUGUUCCAACGUCGACGUAACGUGUAUCAUCAAGCAUUCGACGGUACUUUAGACGUAAUAUUUUGGGAAUAAUACGAUUUAAUAAAACUAAACGUUGAAGUUUUAAAACGUACGAGAAACGCAAUUACGAUGUUAUUGCGAUAUUUUCGGAUAUUAAUCAACGAAAUAUUUUUUAUAAUUCGCAAAGAUGUUUCAAUGGGUGGUGAAACAUUUGUUUGAAUAAACAAGAUAUAUUAAAAGAUCAUCCUAGUAUUUAUCCUAAAGUGGGAUACGAUUUGAGAGACAUCUGAAGAAUAAUAUUGAGGAAGGAUUAAGGAUUAGAAGAGAAAAGAAGAAUUAAUCUGUCUGCAUUGCGGAACGAGUUCGUAAUAUCAAGUUGAUUGUAUUCGAUCGAUAAAGUCUCGAGGUCAUAGGUGAGAAAAGAGAAAGAGAAAAGACAUUGUGUUUUUCUGGAAGGAUCUUCUAUGCGGCAAGAACCCCAGAGCGGCUUGAAAACGCGACCUCCGGUCGAUCACGGUGGUCUUCAUCACGGCGGGGUCAUGCUCGAAGAGGACAUGGCCGGUGCCCAGGACACGAUUUACCUUUGCAAUUUUCGCGUGUCCGUUGAUGGCGAGUGGCUCUGUUUAAAGGAACUUCAGGACGUUGAGUUUUCAUUACAAGACUCGAUACAACGUUCGCCUUCGCCACCGUUACCUCUUAGUGGUAUUGAUCCUCAUCGUCAUCGGCAACAGCUGUUACCCGAGCAGCGGGAUUUUCGCGAUGCAUUACCGCCAAGUCCACCGCCGCCAUUGCGUCACGUCUCAAGCUUGUCACGAGACCCGGUGAUCAUCGAAAGGAGUAAUCUCGUAAAUAUUUCAAAGUUGAUUGUGAAAGAGCUCAUCGAAACUUCUUUAAAAUAUGGCCGCAUGCUCGAUUCGGAUCAUAUGCCUCUGCAACAUUUUUUCAUCGUUCUCGAGCAUGUACUCAGGCACGGUUUACGACCGAAGAAGGGUUUACUUGGACCCAAGAAGGAGCUUUGGGACAUCCUUCAGCUGGUGGAGAAAUACUGCCCUGAAGCGCAAGAUAUUACAUCAAGUAUUCGCGAUUUGCCGACGGUUAGAACUGCCAUGGGUCGGGCGCGUGCCUGGCUUCGUAUGGCACUCAUGCAAAAGAAGUUAGCAGACUACCUAAAGAUUUUGAUCGAUCAUAAGGACGACAUUUUGUCUGAAUAUUUUGAGCCAGAUGCUCUUAUGAUGAGCGAAGAGGCUAUCGUGGUAAUGGGUUUGUUGGUGGGUUUGAAUGUGAUCGAUUGCAAUUUCUGCGUAAAGGAAGAAGAUCUCGAUUGUCAACAAGGUGUGAUCGAUUUUUCGUUAUAUUUGCGCAAUAGCAAUCAUAUACCUGGGGAAUCACCUGACGACGAGCUUGAAAAUGACAACAUGACGACUGUUCUUGAUCAAAAGAAUUAUAUCGAGGAAUUAAAUCGGCACUUGAACGCCACUGUGACAAAUCUUCAAGCCAAACUUGAAACUUUAACUACGACGAAUGCUUUAAUGAAAGAAGAUCUGUCUAUUGCAAAGAAUAAUUUUCUAUCGCUUCAAGAGGAAAACAGACAGCUUAAAAAAGAAUUAGGGAUAGAAAUCAAGGAUCCUAAUGAGAAUGGCAAGGCUCCUAUUAAAAUAACUGAAACUACGACGGAAAUCGAAGAGCUUAGAAGUAGACUCGAAUCAGAGAAGAAAUUACGACAGGACACAGAGAAGGAAUUGCAAUUACAGAUAAGCAUGAAGUCGGAGAUGGAGGUGGCGAUGAAAUUGUUAGAGAAAGACAUCCACGAGAAGCAGGACACCAUAAUAUCGCUUAGGCAACAACUCGACGACAUCAAGCUGAUCAAUUUGGAGAUGUACAAAAAAUUACAGGAGUGCGAGCACGAGCUGACGCAGAAGGGCGAGAUGGUGAGCCGGCUUCACGCCAAGACCAAUCAGAUCGGCAAGAUUCUGAAUAAUCUCGAGAAGUACAAUCACCUGAUGAAGGAUGGAGAAAAUGUUCGGAGUCCGACAACGCCGUGUAACGCAUCGAAGUCGAUUCUAAACAAAAACAGUCCGACCUCGCCGAGAGGUUCGGCAUUUGGAACGGAAAAUGUUGGGGCCGAUCGAACGUCAGGCGAUCAUCAGCAACGUAACAUCGAUAAUAAACGGGCGAAAGAAUCGUGUGAAAAAUCUAAAAGGAGCAAAUCCAACGACGACGUUGUCUCUACGAAUGUUAUUAACGAAAAAAAGCCCGUUAAAGAAUGAAGACAUUCUUCGUUUGGUCAAUUCUCUUAGCGAGUCUACUUGUUAGAAAUCUCUUUUUUCUACACGACGUAAUAAGCGAUACUACAUCGCCAAUUUCAUCGCAAUUUCAUCGCAAUUUCAUCGCAAUUUCGACCUUCUCGCUUAUCGCGCGAAAUGUCGCUUUCCUAUAUGCGCUCCUUUUUACACGUUGUAUUCGCGCGUUUCAUCGAUUAUAUCAUAUCUCUUCGCUCGACGUUCGAUCGCGAGCAUCGAUUCGAAUAGUUCAUAUCUCUUCGAGAUAAUAUGCGCCGAAAUUGAGAGGAAAAUCUACAACCAUAAAACGUUUUAUCUCUAUACAGGCGCAGGAUUAUACAGGACAAUAAUCCCGAGAAUAGUUUUCUGCGAGUCCCUCUAUUAUCUAAUAUUUCUCAAGAAGAAAUACAAGUACGCGGCUAUUCGAUUUCUAAUUUUCUUCUUUUUCUGAUUCCAUCGGAUUUCGUAUUUAUUUCGAUCUCGAAGAACUCGUUUCUUUUUUUCUCUCUUAUACUGAAGAAGAAUUUAUUUCAGGAAUGCGAAGCUUCUCUUAAUCAUAAGACAGAACUGAUCAAAAAACUGGAGGCUAAGACAGUGUCGAUGACUGAGACAUUCCAGAAACUGGAUGAACAGCGCAAGGAAUUGGACGGAGUUAGAGCAAGGACCGAGGAGAAGGCUAAGGUC